RNAcentral lists this ribosomal RNA (253 nucleotides) under uncultured bacterium. Its description in RNAcentral is "partial 16S ribosomal RNA". It matches the Rfam family "Bacterial small subunit ribosomal RNA", at positions 524 to 776 of the family's 1533-position model. The record is from RNAcentral.
UACGGGGGGAGCAAGCGUUGUUCGGAUUUACUGGGCGUAAAGGGCGCGUAGGCGGCGUGACAAGUCACUUGUGAAAUCUCCGGGCUUAACUCGGAACGGUCAAGUGAUACUGUCGUGCUAGAGUACAGAAGGGGCAACUGGAAUUCUCGGUGUAGCGGUGAAAUGCGUAGAUAUCGAGAGGAACACCUGCGGCGAAGGCGACUACCUGGCCUGUUCUUGACGCUGAGGCGCGAAAGCUAGGGGAGCAAACGGG